CGGGCAUUUUCGGUAUGUCAGCGGCAGACGGGUGAGUAACACGUGGGAACGUACCCUUCGGUUCGGAACAACUCUGGGAAACUGGAGCUAAUACCGGAUACGCCCUUAUGGGGAAAGGUUUACUGCCGAAGGAUCGGCCCGCGUCUGAUUAGCUAGUUGGUGGGGUAACGGCCUACCAAGGCGACGAUCAGUAGCUGGUCUGAGAGGAUGAUCAGCCACACUGGGACUGAGACACGGCCCAG
This 242-nucleotide ribosomal RNA is filed under the name uncultured bacterium. RNAcentral describes it as "partial 16S ribosomal RNA". It matches the Rfam family "Bacterial small subunit ribosomal RNA", at positions 75 to 334 of the family's 1533-position model. The record is from RNAcentral.